UGGGGAAUAUUGCACAAUGGGCGCAAGCCUGAUGCAGCCAUGCCGCGUGUGUGAAGAAGGCCUUCGGGUUGUAAAGCACUUUCAGCGGGGAGGAAGGCGAUAAGGUUAAUAACCUUGUCGAUUGACGUUACCCGCAGAAGAAGCACCGGCUAACUCCGUGCCAGCAGCCGCGGUAAUACGGAGGGUGCAAGCGUUAAUCGGAAUUACUGGGCGUAAAGCGCACGCAGGCGGUCUGUCAAGUCGGAUGUGAAAUCCCCGGGCUCAACCUGGGAACUGCAUUCGAAACUGGCAGGCUAGAGUCUUGUAGAGGGGGGUAGAAUUCCAGGUGUAGCGGUGGAAUGCGUAGAGAUCUGGAGGAAUACCGGUGGCGAGGGCGGCCCCCUGGACAAAGACUGACGCUCAGGUGCGAAAGCGUGGGGAGCAAACAGG
RNAcentral lists this ribosomal RNA (429 nucleotides) under Chloroflexota bacterium. Its description in RNAcentral is "Chloroflexi bacterium partial 16S ribosomal RNA". It matches the Rfam family "Bacterial small subunit ribosomal RNA", at positions 355 to 776 of the family's 1533-position model. The record is from RNAcentral. Lineage: Bacteria; Bacillati; Chloroflexota.